Long non-coding RNA from Ornithodoros turicata, 469 nucleotides. RefSeq lists it as uncharacterized. The record is from RefSeq and is a predicted model, not a curated record. The transcript has 3 exons. Lineage: Eukaryota; Metazoa; Arthropoda; Arachnida; Ixodida; Argasidae.
UGUUUUAUUCAUGUGUGUUGCACAACCAGAACCACAUGUUUCUCCCAAUCUGUUCUGUUUUUUUUCUCAUUAUAUGCAUAAUGUUCAGUCAGUCGAUUUUAACAUUCACAUAUAGUUCCAUCUGCAGGAGGACAAAAACAAACAGCAAAAACAAGGCAAGACUAGGAAGAAAUUAUAUUCUGCUAUACUCAAAAAGCAUGUGGCCCAAAUGAGAAAGAAAAAUGAGGAGGCCCUUUCAGACUGUAAUGCUACAGGGAACCAAGAUUGUAAUGAGCCACCCGAGAUGGAAGGAAGUGACAGUGAUGUUGACAUUCAUGACACAGUAGAAGUGUUGUCCAGUUCGUCUUCCAAGAGAGAUUGCACCUGCUUAUCCACCGUGUCACAGUCUAUGGAAGAGUGCCACAAGAAGUUGACAGACAUAGAAAAAACGCUUGAUCAAGUGGUGCAAGAGUUGCACAAAUGGGCAAAC